AGUGAACGCUGGCGGUAGGCCUAACACACGCAAGUCGAACGGCAGCACAGUAAGAGCUUGCUCUUACGGGUGGCGAGUGGCGGACGGGUGAGGCAUACAUCGGAAUCUACUUUUUCGUGGGGGAUAACGUAGGGAAACUUACGCUAAUACCGCAUACGACCUACGGGUGAAAGCAGGGGAUCUUCGGACCUUGCGCGAUUGAAUGAGCCGAUGUCGGAUUAGCUAGUUGGCGGGGUAAAGGCCCACCAAGGCGACGAUCCGUAGCUGGUCUGAGAGGAUGAUCAGCCACACUGGAACUGAGACACGGUCCAGACUCCUACGGGAGGCAGCAGUGGGGAAUAUUGGACAAUGGGCGCAAGCCUGAUCCAGCCAUACCGCGUGGGUGAAGAAGGCCUUCGGGUUGUAAAGCCCUUUUGUUGGGAAAGAAAAGCAGCAGGUUAAUACCCCGCUGUUCUGACGGUACCCAAAGAAUAAGCACCGGCUAACUUCGUG
RNAcentral lists this ribosomal RNA (492 nucleotides) under uncultured bacterium. RNAcentral's name for it is "partial 16S ribosomal RNA". It matches the Rfam family "Bacterial small subunit ribosomal RNA", at positions 29 to 507 of the family's 1533-position model. The record is from RNAcentral.